This 592-nucleotide ribosomal RNA is filed under the name uncultured Gammaproteobacteria bacterium. RNAcentral's name for it is "bacterial SSU rRNA". It matches the Rfam family "Bacterial small subunit ribosomal RNA", at positions 8 to 589 of the family's 1533-position model. The record is from RNAcentral. Lineage: Bacteria; Pseudomonadati; Pseudomonadota; Gammaproteobacteria.
AGAGUUUGAUCAUGGCUCAGAUUGAACGCUGGCGGCAGGCCUAACACAUGCAAGUCGAGCGGCAGCACAAGGGGGUUUACUCCUGAGGUGGCGAGCGGCGGACGGGUGAGUAAUGCCUAGGGAUCUGCCCAGUCGAGGGGGAUAACAGUUGGAAACGACUGCUAAUACCGCAUACGCCCUACGGGGGAAAGAGGGGGACUUUCGGGCCUCUCGCGAUUGGAUGAACCUAGGUGGGAUUAGCUAGUUGGUGAGGUAAUGGCUCACCAAGGCGACGAUCCCUAGCUGUUCUGAGAGGAUGAUCAGCCACACUGGGACUGAGACACGGCCCAGACUCCUACGGGAGGCAGCAGUGGGGAAUAUUGCACAAUGGGGGAAACCCUGAUGCAGCCAUGCCGCGUGUGUGAAGAAGGCCUUCGGGUUGUAAAGCACUUUCAGUAGGGAGGAAAGGUUGUAAGUUAAUACCUUGCAGCUGUGACGUUACCUACAGAAGAAGGACCGGCUAACUCCGUGCCAGCAGCCGCGGUAAUACGGAGGGUCCAAGCGUUAAUCGGAAUUACUGGGCGUAAAGCGUGCGCAGGCGGUUGAUUAAGCG